Long non-coding RNA from Zonotrichia albicollis (white-throated sparrow), 2236 nucleotides. NCBI's taxonomy places the organism in Eukaryota, Metazoa, Chordata, Aves, Passeriformes, Passerellidae. The record is from Ensembl.
GGUGGGAAAUGAGAAUUUCCUUGGUAGAAAAUGCAGAAUUUCCCUGGUGAGAAAUGGAAAUUUUCCAGGUGGGAAAUGGGGAAUUUUCCUGGUGAGAAAUGGGGAAUUUCCUGAUUGUAAAUGGGAAUUUUCCAGGUGUGAAAGGAGGAAUUUUCCAGGUGUGAAAUGGAGAAUUUUCCUGGUGGGAAAUGGGAAUUUCCUUGGUAGAAAAUGCAGAAUUUUCCUGGGAAAUGGGAAUUGUCCCACCCUGGGAUAUCCCCAGCCCUGGCUGGGCCUUUGAGCAAAGGAAAUUUUAGGGAUGGAGCUGCAAACCCAACACGGCACACGAGGCCCCGCUGGGCAGAUCCCUGCUGGUUUCUGUUGUACAGAAGAAUUCCGAUUAUUCCGAUUAUUCCGAUUAUUCCCGUGAUUUUUUUGGUUUGGGGUCGGUUUUUUUUUGGGGUUGGUUUUUUUUGGGGUUUUGGGUUUUUUUGGGGGUUUUUUUUCUUUGUGCAAUAAAGUUUUGUUUUGGCAGAACGGAGCCUGCGCUGUUCCUCGGUGGGAAUUCUGAUGGAAUCACGGCAGCCCAGGGCAGCAUUCCCAGUUUUUCCCAGUGUUUUCCUGGUUUUCCCCAAUCUGGGGCGUUUCCACCCAAAGCAGGCAGUGCUUUUCCAGCGCACAGAACUUCCCAAACUCGGGAAUUUUUGUACAAAAAUUUUUAUUAUUCCCUGGGAUUGGGGAGGGAGCCAGGGAGGGAUUCCAGGGGGGAUUCCAGGAGGGAUUUCAGGAGGGAUUUCAGGAGGGAUUCCCAAAGAUUCCAGGAGGGAUUUCAGGAGGGAUUCCCAAAGAUUCCAGCUGGGAUUCCUGAGGAUCCAGGGAGGGAUUCAAGGGGGGAUUCCAAGAGGGAUUUCAGAAGGGAUUCCCAAAGAUUCCAGCUGGGAUUUCAGGAGGGAUUCCCAAGGAUCCUGGGUGGGAAUUCCAGCUGGGAUUCCGAUGACUCGAGGAGCAAUUCCCAAGGAAUCCCAGGAGGGAUUAAAGGGGAGAUUCCUGAAGGAUCCUGGGAGGGAUUCCAGCUGGAAUUCCGGAGGGUUUCAGGAGGGAUUCCAGGAGGAAUUCCUGAGGAUUCCAGAGGGGAUUCCAGGAGGGAUUCCCAAGGAUCCUGGGUGGGAAUUCCAGCUGGGAUUCCGAGGGCUCCAGGAAGGAGAUUCCCAAGGAUUUGAGGAGGGAUUAAAGGGGAGAUUCCUGAGGAUCCUGUGAGAGAUUCCAGCUGGAAUUCCAGAGGGUUUCAGGAAGGAUUCCAGGAGGAAUUCCUGAGGAUUCCAGAGGGGCUUCCAGGAGGGAUUCCCAAGGAUGCUGGGUGGGAAUUUCAGCUGGGAUUCCAAGGACUCGAGGAGCAAUUCCCAAGGAAUCCCAGGAGGGAUUCCAGGAGGGAUUCCCAAGGGUGCUGGGCGGGAAUUCCAGCCGGGAUCCCGAGGGUUCCGGGGUUGUUCCCGGGUAUCCCAGGNCCUGCACUGGUUGGGGUUUAUUUUUUUUGGUUUCUUUUUUUCUUUUUUUUUUUUUUUCUUUUUUCCCAGGUUUAUUAUAUUUUUUUUUCCUUCAUUUCGAUUAAAGAAUGAGCUCUAGACUGCAAAUCCUUGAGAGCUUUUGUGCUCCGGGGCAGGGCUGGGGAGAGCUGGGGCCUCCCUGGUGUCUCUCUUCUAGGCAAACCAAAGAAUUCAGGAAUUGUCCCUGCUGGAAUUUUGGGGGCUCCCCCUCCCCAGAACUCUGCUCCAGCCUUUGGAGACUUCAUGUGGAGAAUGGGAACUGCAGGAAUCCGUGGAUUUGUGCGCCCUGGAGGUUUGGGCAAAGGGAGGACGAGAUGAGAUUGUGUUUGUUUGGUGGCGUUUUGAAUUUUCAGCCUUUUUUGGGAGGGGGUCUCUCCUGCUUGGAGCUGUGCUGGAAUUCUCUGUGGUGUCCCUGCUGUCCCCACCCAUGGGACGCUGCCAGCGGGCUCUGGGAUGGACAAACUCAAUCCUUUGCCAAAUCUGGUGAAAUUCUGCGGUUUUGGGGCUGCCCAGAGCCCGUUUUUGGGAGAUGUGUGCUGGGGGUGGCACGGGGAGGUGGCGGUGGCAGCGCCAGCCCGGCCUGGAGGGGACGAUUCCCACUGGAGCCGGAGAUGGAGGAUUCAUUGUCACUGUAGGGAUGUGAAAUUGCAGCAAAUCCUGGCCAAAAUGCAGCAAAUCCUGCCCAAAAUGCAGCAAAUCCUGCCCAAAAUCCU